Long non-coding RNA from Ictalurus punctatus (channel catfish), 917 nucleotides. RefSeq lists it as uncharacterized. The transcript has 5 exons. The record is from RefSeq and is a predicted model, not a curated record. NCBI's taxonomy places the organism in Eukaryota, Metazoa, Chordata, Actinopteri, Siluriformes, Ictaluridae.
AAUAUGCAAAUAAGCCCACUAGCUGGGCUUUUAUGGAAAAGUACAUGAAGAGAAGGUUACAAUACCGAUAGAGUUUAACGUGACAUUUUUAUUUUAAUUUGAUGUUAGAAAACUGUAAUGAGUACUGAUAGCUUUAAUUCAACCUUUUCAGAGCUUUAACUCCAGCGACUUGCAUUCCUGUGAGUUGUUCUGCCACUACACAUGUGCAGCAGUUGAAGUUGACACUCUGUGUCUUCUGCAGCUCUGGAAGAUAAAUGUUUAAGGGCCUUGCUCAAGAUCCCAGUAGUGGAAGCUUGGCAGUGCUGACUGAGCUACCACAGCCCAAGAGUGGGAGAUGACAACAUGCCGGGAACUUGCUGCUUCAAUGAGCGUUGGCUUGAAAACGAAAAAUACAAUUAAGUGACCACCGAAUCCCCGAGAAGUCUCCUGGAAAGUCUGUUAAAAACUUUACUUGGCUUUUCACCAUGGGAGAAUCUGGGCUUUCAAGCCAUGUAUAAGUAAAAGACAGAGAGGAAAAGGAGCGAAUAACUCUGGAGAGACAAAUGAGGGAGAGAAAAGGUAGGGUUCCCCUACACUGAAGUACCUUUCAUACAUUAUAUUUCUUGUGAAUUCAUGCCAAACAAUCUUGGCAUUUUCUUUAAUAUUUGAGAAAUUGUUUAAGUGUCGUUUGUGCGCCUCAGCAGAAAUCAAGAUUAACCAAACCAGUCGAUAAUUUUGCAGUCUUCAACUUCACCCGUUUCAGUUAGCCUGUGCUCAUUGUAGCCUCAGAUUCUUGUUGUUGGUUGAUAUGAGUAAAACCCAAUGUUGUCUUCUGCUCUUGUAGCCCAUCCGACUCAAGGUUCAACAAGUUGUGCAUACUGAGACGCUCGCAGAACUGCUCACUGGAUGUUUUUUGGUUUUGCACCAUUCUGUGUAAA